AUAUAAACAGGUGGUGAGUUGGGUCUGGCACACACUCUCAGCCAACUGAUCGGUGAUCCUGCCUCACUAUUACUUUAAUCAAGUGUUAGUGUCAUCCCAGUACAGUACAUCAGUCCAACAUGAACUUCUUCCGUGCCGUGGUAAUGUUCCUGGUAGUGGCGAUCUCCUUUGCCACAUUGGCCGAGGCUGCACCUUUCUUUGGUAAACGUGGUCGUGGCGGGCGUGGUGGUGGUCGUCGUGGAGGGCGUCGUGGCGGGAACAUUAACCCAGACCCCUACCUCGUCUUCACACCCGGCUUAGGGAAUCUCUACGGAGGUGUAGGUCCUGCCUUCCUGGGCGGAGUCUAAAACUCUCCAGGAGAAACUCAUGUUUCGCUGGUGUAAUACACAUUUCCGUCGUGCUGUAGCCGCACGGAGUAGUCCUGACGGAGGCCCCGUAGAGGAGACACGGCAGCUAUCAGGUUGUUUUAGGUCCCCACAACAUGGCAUUUGGUCUCCGGGCAUCAGGGCUCCAACGUGCGUCAUUUUGAUGAGUAUCAGAUGACACAGUACGUGGAGCAACUACGUCCCAAGACCACCUUUACCCACAGGCCGGAAAUGUUACAGAGUCGAGUGAAAAAUCUUCAGAUUGUCUCCGACUGGUGACAAAAGCCGACACUUUUUGGCUGUUUAGUGAGUUGAGUCACGAGACGAGAGAAGUCGCCCAGUGCGAGUCUUUCGUGUGGCCCUUAUCAGUGUGUUCCUGACAGUGUUGAGCUGUGAGUAGACCUACGAGUCUGUCUCCAGCUGACAGUGUCGAGCUGUAAGUAGACCUGAGAGUCUAUCUCCAGCUGACAGUGCAGAGCUGUGAGUAACCCUACGAGUCUGUCUCAAGCUGACAAUGUUGAGCUGUGAAUAGACCUAAGAGUCUGUCUCCAGCUGACAGUGUUGAGCUGAGAGUAGGCGCGUGAGUGUCUCCAGCUGGCUUUCUUAAGCAUUGCUUGAAAAUAUCAUUUGGCUAAUUUCAGUUUUGCCAAGAGAUAAUUUACCGUUAAGUCCUACUUGUCUUAUAUCAAAAUAUGUCUAAUGUAAUAUGUCAUAUUAUUUUGUAGGAUGAAUAAAAUUUCUAUAAAGUGUAA
Molecule: long non-coding RNA, 1117 nt
Organism: Homarus americanus (American lobster)
Lineage: Eukaryota; Metazoa; Arthropoda; Malacostraca; Decapoda; Nephropidae
Exons: 2
Source: RefSeq, a predicted model, not a curated record